AGGAAGGUGGGUAGUGUUAAUAGUCAUACUCAUUUGACGUUAGCUGCAGAAGAAGCACCGGCUAACUCCGUGCCAGCAGCCGCGGUAAUACGGAGGGUGCGAGCGUUAAUCGGAAUUACUGGGCGUAAAGCGCAUGCAGGUGGUUUGUUAAGUCAGAUGUGAAAGCCCGGGGCUCAACCUCGGAAUUGCAUUUGAAAACUGGCAAACUAGAGUACUGUAGAGGGGGUAGAAUUUCAGGUGUAGCGGUGAAAUGCGUAGAGAUCUGAAGGAAUACCGGUGGCGAAGGCGGCCCCCUGGACAGAUACUGACACUCAGAUGCGAAAGCGUGGGGAGCAAACAGGAUUAGAUACCCUGGUAG
This 358-nucleotide ribosomal RNA is filed under the name uncultured bacterium. RNAcentral describes it as "bacterial SSU rRNA". It matches the Rfam family "Bacterial small subunit ribosomal RNA", at positions 445 to 793 of the family's 1533-position model. The record is from RNAcentral.